AGAUGCAAUUCCAAAGUACUCUGCUCAAAACCCGCGCGAUCAGUUGUUGUUGGUAAAUAUUUACUCCCUUCCUGUCUGCCAGGGGCCCACUCACAUGGACAUGCUAUAAAUCUGAGCACCGCUUUAAAUGAUGAUCACAUAUGCGCGACGAGGCUUAGUACCAUGGAGUCGUCAUACGAAUCGGAAGCACACUAGAGUUACUGUCGGCAACAUGAAGAAGUUAUUCGUUUUCGUUCUUAGUCUACUGCUACUGAGUUUGGCCUUAGAAAUAAGUGCAGGCUCAGCUAGAAAGAUGUGCAUGAAGAAGCUGAACCAGGUUUUGAUGUUUAUCUGCAACGAUGAAGUCAACAACUUGGACCAACAUCAGUAUGACACCUACAAAGAGUGCUGCGUUAAAUCAUGUGAAAUGACGACGUUGGCGAAAUUGUGCAAAAAUCAAUCGCAAUAACAGAUGCAGACCUUCUUUGUUAGUGAACGGUAUUGUUGUUGAUCUUCAGUCAGCAAAACCAGUUGAUGAAGCCAGGUGAAUUUUGUACUAGUAUGGAUUGUUUCAAUAGUGAUGACCUAUAAUUUUCAACAAGA
Aedes aegypti (yellow fever mosquito) is the source of this 582-nucleotide long non-coding RNA. RefSeq lists it as uncharacterized. The transcript is spliced from 2 exons. NCBI's taxonomy places the organism in Eukaryota, Metazoa, Arthropoda, Insecta, Diptera, Culicidae. The record is from RefSeq and is a predicted model, not a curated record.